AUGCUUACUUUGGCAACAUAUAUACUAAAAUUGGAAUGAUAUAGAAAAGAUUACCAUGAACCCUGUGCAAGGGUGACAGGCAGACUGGGGAAAGGUGCUAUAUUUCU
Phascolarctos cinereus (koala) is the source of this 107-nucleotide small nuclear RNA. Lineage: Eukaryota; Metazoa; Chordata; Mammalia; Diprotodontia; Phascolarctidae. The record is from Ensembl.